AGUCGAACGGCAGCACGGGCUUCGGCCUGGUGGCGAGUGGCGAACGGGUGAGUAAUACAUCGGAACGUGCCCUGUAGUGGGGGAUAACUAGUCGAAAGAUUAGCUAAUACCGCAUACGACCUGAGGGUGAAAGCGGGGGACCGUAAGGCCUCGCGCUACAGGAGCGGCCGAUGUCUGAUUAGCUAGUUGGUGGGGUAAAAGCCUACCAAGGCGACGAUCAGUAGCUGGUCUGAGAGGACGAUCAGCCACACUGGGACUGAGACACGGCCCAGACUCCUACGGGAGGCAGCAGUGGGGAAUUUUGGACAAUGGGGGCAACCCUGAUCCAGCAAUGCCGCGUGUGUGAAGAAGGCCUUCGGGUUGUAAAGCACUUUUGUCCGGAAAGAAAUGGCUCUGGUUAAUACCCGGGGUCGACGACGGUACCGGAAGAAUAAGCACCGGCUAACUACGUGCCAGCAGCCGCGGUAAUACGUAGGGUGCGAGCGUUAAUCGGAAUUACUGGGCGUAAAGCGUGCGCAGGCGGUUUUGUAAGACAGGCGUGAAAUCCCCGAGCUCAACUUGGGAAUGGCGCUUGUGACUGCAAGGCUAGAGUAUGUCAGAGGGGGGUAGAAUUCCACGUGUAGCAGUGAAAUGCGUAGAGAUGUGGAGGAAUACCGAUGGCGAAGGCAGCCCCCUGGGACGUCACUGACGCUCAUGCACGAAAGCGUGGGGAGCAAACAGGAUUAGAUACCCUGGUAGUCCACGCCCUAAACGAUGUCAACUAGUUGUUGGGGAAUCAUUUCUUCAGUAACGUAGCUAACGCGUGAAGUUGACCGCCUGGGGAGUACGGUCGCAAGAUUAAAACUCAAAGGAAUUGACGGGGACCCGCACAGCGG
RNAcentral lists this ribosomal RNA (875 nucleotides) under uncultured soil bacterium. RNAcentral's name for it is "bacterial SSU rRNA". It matches the Rfam family "Bacterial small subunit ribosomal RNA", at positions 60 to 932 of the family's 1533-position model. The record is from RNAcentral.